GAAUUCCGGCGAUUCCGGCCACCUCCGGUCCCCAUUUCGCCGUCGAAGAUCACAGUAUUGCUGACCGGCAUAGGAGUGGAGGCUAGUACCAUCUUUGUCAUCCAUUCUCAGUAGGUUAUUGAUUAACCUACUUAUUGUACUAUAUUUCGAGUGUGUUCCUUAGAUUGCUCUGAAUACUUGUAGAGAGUGGAUUUAUACAUUUGUAUAAUUAUGUGUGUAAGAGAGUGGUCUAAUUUGGGAGGAAGUUGAAUGAUUUGAAUUUGUAUAAGAUGUUAAGAUUGUGGAGUUUGAUGUUUA
Molecule: long non-coding RNA, 297 nt
Organism: Rosa chinensis
Lineage: Eukaryota; Viridiplantae; Streptophyta; Magnoliopsida; Rosales; Rosaceae
Exons: 2
Source: RefSeq, a predicted model, not a curated record